This is a non-coding RNA of Pygocentrus nattereri (red-bellied piranha), 428 nucleotides long. The record is from the annotation of a RefSeq genome assembly. Lineage: Eukaryota; Metazoa; Chordata; Actinopteri; Characiformes; Serrasalmidae.
UUAGACUCCACUGUGGCAGCUUUAGGUUCAUAAUGAAGAUUCCAAGCAUCAUUUGUUUCAUCUUAUGGUUCAUACAAAGUCUCUCAUGUCAGGAGAUCAGGAUGGAUCAGUCUCCACCUCAGGUGAAGAAACCUGGAGAAAGUGUGAAGAUUUCCUGUAAGAUUUCUGGAUACGACAUGACCAGCUACCUCAUGCACUGGAUAAGACAGAAACCAGGGAAAGCUCUGGAAUGGAUUGGAUUUGUGAACUCGGGUACAACUGAUGAACCCACAUAUGCAGAUUCCAUGAAAGACCGCUUCACUCUGACCGAGGACGUUUCUACAAGCACGCAGUUCUUAGAGGCCAAGAGUCUGAGAGCAGAGGACAGUGCUGCUUAUUACUGUGCCCGAGAGACACAGUGAUGGAUCUGAUGGAGCAGCUGUACUAAA